GGUCCCAUAGCUCAGUUGGUCAGAGCGUCGUACUAAUAAUAUAAGUGCUUCUUGUAAUAUCGGUAAUGCGAAGGCCGUGAGUUCAAGCCUCACUGGGACCA
This is a non-coding RNA of Nemania sp. FL0031, 101 nucleotides long. The record is from the annotation of a GenBank genome assembly. Lineage: Eukaryota; Fungi; Ascomycota; Sordariomycetes; Xylariales; Xylariaceae.